Molecule: ribosomal RNA, 404 nt
Filed under: Actinomycetes bacterium
Lineage: Bacteria; Bacillati; Actinomycetota; Actinomycetes
Description: Actinobacteria bacterium partial 16S ribosomal RNA
Rfam family: Bacterial small subunit ribosomal RNA
Source: RNAcentral
UGGGGAAUAUUGGACAAUGGGCGCAAGCCUGAUCCAGCCAUGCCGCGUGAGUGAUGAAGGCCCUAGGGUUGUAAAGCUCUUUCACCGGUGAAGAUAAUGACGGUAACCGGAGAAGAAGCCCCGGCUAACUUCGUGCCAGCAGCCGCGGUAAUACGAAGGGGGCUAGCGUUGUUCGGAUUUACUGGGCGUAAAGCGCACGUAGGCGGACUUUUAAGUCAGGGGUGAAAUCCCGGGGCUCAACCCCGGAACUGCCUUUGAUACUGGAAGUCUUGAGUAUGGUAGAGGUGAGUGGAAUUCCGAGUGUAGAGGUGAAAUUCGUAGAUAUUCGGAGGAACACCAGUGGCGAAGGCGGCUCACUGGACCUUUACUGACGCUGAGGUGCGAAAGCGUGGGGAGCAAAUAGG